Molecule: ribosomal RNA, 160 nt
Filed under: uncultured bacterium
Lineage: Bacteria
Description: partial 16S ribosomal RNA
Rfam family: Bacterial small subunit ribosomal RNA
Source: RNAcentral
UGGGGAAUAUUGCACAAUGGGCGAAAGCCUGAUGCAGCCAUGCCGCGUGUGUGAAGAAGGCCUUCGGGUUGUAAAGCACUUUCAGUCGUGAGGAAAGGUGAGCAGUUAAUACCUCACAUCUCGUGACGUUACUGACAGAAGAAGCACCGGCUAACUCCGU